RNAcentral lists this transfer RNA (74 nucleotides) under Podarcis lilfordi (Lilford's wall lizard). RNAcentral's name for it is "tRNA.Lys". The stretch from base 6 to 63 matches the Rfam family "tRNA", at positions 8 to 63 of the family's 71-position model. From Rfam's summary of the family: Transfer RNA (tRNA) molecules are approximately 80 nucleotides in length. Their secondary structure includes four short double-helical elements and three loops (D, anti-codon, and T loops). The record is from RNAcentral. Lineage: Eukaryota; Metazoa; Chordata; Lepidosauria; Squamata; Lacertidae.
UGGGAUAGCUCAGUUAGUAGAGCAUGAGACUCUUAAUCUCAGGGUUGUGGAGUCAAGCCCCACAUUGGGCAAAA